GUGGACAACCUACCCUUGGGACCAGUAUAAUCCUGGGAAACUGGGCAUAAUGCUGGAUAGGUCACAAUUGCUGGAAUGCAUUGUGGCUCAAAGCUCCGGCGCCCAAGGAUGGGUCUGCGGCCUAUCAGGGUAGUAGUGGGUGUAAUGUACCUACUAGCCUACGACGGGUACGGGUUGUGAGAGCAAGAGCCCGGAGAUGGAUUCUGAGACACGAAUCCAGGCCCUACGGGGUGCAGCAGGCGCGAAAACUUUACAAUGCGGGAAACCGUGAUAAGGGGAUCUCGAGUGCCAGCAUAUAAUGUUGGCUGUCCAGAUGCUUAAAAAGCAUUUGUUAGCAAGGGCCGGGCAAGACCGGUGCCAGCCGCCGCGGUAACACCGGCGGCCCGAGUGGUAACCGUUAUUAUUGGGUCUAAAGGGUCUGUAGCCGGCCAAGUAAGUCCUUUGGGAAAUCUGGUAGCUUAACUAUCAGGCUGCCAGGGGAUACUGCUUGGCUUGGGACCGGGAGAGGUGAGAGGUACCUCGGGGGUAGGGGUGAAAUCUUGUGAUCCUCGAGGGACCACCAGUGGCGAAGGCGUCUCACCAGAACGGGUCCGACGGUAAGGGACGAAAGCUAGGGGCACGAACCGGAUUAGAUACCCGGGUAGUCCUAGCCGUAAACGAUGCUCGCUAGGUGUCAGUCACGGUGCGACCGUGAUUGGUGCCGUAGGGAAGCCGUGAAGCGAGCCACCU
RNAcentral lists this ribosomal RNA (729 nucleotides) under uncultured archaeon. RNAcentral describes it as "bacterial SSU rRNA". It matches the Rfam family "Archaeal small subunit ribosomal RNA", at positions 100 to 829 of the family's 1478-position model. The record is from RNAcentral.